Molecule: ribosomal RNA, 468 nt
Filed under: uncultured bacterium
Lineage: Bacteria
Description: partial 16S ribosomal RNA
Rfam family: Bacterial small subunit ribosomal RNA
Source: RNAcentral
GACGAACGCUGGCGGCGUGCUUAACACAUGCAAGUCGAACGGAAAGGCCCUGCUUUUGUGGGGUGCUCGAGUGGCGAAAGGGUGAGUAACACGUGUGUAACCUGCCCUUGACUUUGGGAUAUCUUCAGGAAACUGGGGCUAAUACCGGAUAUGAGCCCCGGCUGCACGGCGGGGGUUGGAAAGUUUCGGCGGUUGGGGAUGGACUCGCGGCUUAUCAGCUUGUUGGUGGGGUAGUGGCUUACCAAGGCUUUGACGGGUAGCCGGCCUGAGAGGGUGACCGGCCACAUUGGGACUGAGAUACGGCCCAGACUCCUACGGGAGGCAGCAGUGGGGAAUAUUGCACAAUGGGCGGAAGCCUGAUGCAGCAACGCCGCGUGCGGGACGACGGCCUUCGGGUUGUAAACCGCUUUCGGCUGUGACGAAGCGUGAGUGACGGUAAUGGGUAAAGAAGCACCGGCUAACUACGUG